Molecule: ribosomal RNA, 460 nt
Filed under: uncultured bacterium
Lineage: Bacteria
Description: partial 16S ribosomal RNA
Rfam family: Bacterial small subunit ribosomal RNA
Source: RNAcentral
CCUACGGGGUGCAGCAGUGAGGAAUAUUGGUCAAUGGACGAGAGUCUGAACCAGCCAAAUAGCGUGAAGUAUGACUGCCCUAUGGGUUUUAAACUUCUUUUAUAUGGAAAUAAAAUGUUCCCCUUGUGGUAUUUUGUAUCUACCAUAUGAAUAAUGAUCGGCUAAUUCCGUGCCAGCAGCCGCGGUAAUACGGAGGAUCCGAGCUUUAUCCGGAGUUAUUGGGUUUAAAGGGAGCGUAUGUGGAUUGUUAAGUCAGUUGUGAAAUUUUGCGGCUCAACCGUAAAAUUGCAGUUGAAACUGGGAGUCUUGAGUACAGUAGAGGUGGGCGGAAUUCGUGGUGUAGCGGUGAAAUGCUUAGAUAUCACGAAGAACUCCGAGUGCGAAGGCAGCUCACUGGACUGCAACUGACACUGAGGCUCGAAAGUGUGGGUAUCAAACAGGAUUAGAUACCCUAGUAGUC